RNAcentral lists this ribosomal RNA (696 nucleotides) under uncultured bacterium. Its description in RNAcentral is "bacterial SSU rRNA". It matches the Rfam family "Bacterial small subunit ribosomal RNA", at positions 32 to 715 of the family's 1533-position model. The record is from RNAcentral.
AACGCUAGCUACAGGCUUAACACAUGCAAGUCGAGGGGAAACGACAUCGAAAGCUUGCUUUUGGUGGGCGUCGACCGGCGCACGGGUGAGUAACGCGUAUCCAACCUGCCCACCACUUGGGGAUAACCUUGCGAAAGUAAGACUAAUACCCAAUGAUAUCCCACGAAGGCAUCCGAAUGGGAUUAAAGAUUUAUCGGUUAUGGAUGGGGAUGCGUCUGAUUAGCUUGUUGGCGGGGUAACGGCCCACCAAGGCAACGAUCAGUAGGGGUUCUGAGAGGAAGGUCCCCCACAUUGGAACUGAGACACGGUCCAAACUCCUACGGGAGGCAGCAGUGAGGAAUAUUGGUCAAUGGGCGAGAGCCUGAACCAGCCAAGUAGCGUGCAGGAUGACGGCCCUAUGGGUUGUAAACUGCUUUUAUACAGGAAUAAAGUUAGCCACGUGUGGCUAUUUGUAGGUACUGUAUGAAUAAGGACCGGCUAAUUCCGUGCCAGCAGCCGCGGUAAUACGGAAGGUCCAGGCGUUAUCCGGAUUUAUUGGGUUUAAAGGGAGCGUAGGCCGUCUGUUAAGCGUGUUGUGAAAUGUAGAUGCUCAACAUCUGAAUUGCAGCGCGAACUGGCAGACUUGAGUGUGCGCAACGUAGGCGGAAUUCGUGGUGUAGCGGUGAAAUGCUUAGAUAUCACGAAGAACUCCGAUUG